Molecule: transfer RNA, 76 nt
Filed under: Chloroflexota bacterium
Lineage: Bacteria; Bacillati; Chloroflexota
Also listed under: 1 other name
Description: Chloroflexi bacterium (soil metagenome) tRNA-Thr
Rfam family: tRNA
About the family: Transfer RNA (tRNA) molecules are approximately 80 nucleotides in length. Their secondary structure includes four short double-helical elements and three loops (D, anti-codon, and T loops).
Source: RNAcentral
GCCGACGUAGCUCAAUUGGUAGAGCGGCGGUUUUGUAAACCGCGGGUUAUGGGUUCGAGUCCCUUCGUCGGCUCCA